AACGAACGCUGGCGGCAGGCUUAACACAUGCAAGUCGAACGCGUGUAGCAAUACACGAGUGGCGCACGGGUGAGUAACGCGUGGAUAUCUGCCUUUGGUUCGGAAUAACUCCGGGAAACUGGAGCUAAUACCGGAUGGUUCCUACGGGAUAAAGAUUUAUCGCCAAAAGAUGAGUCCGCGUACGAUUAGCUAGUUGGUGAGGUAACGGCUCACCAAGGCGACGAUCGUUAGCUGGUCUGAGAGGACGAUCAGCCACACUGGGACUGAGACACGGCCCAGACUCCUACGGAGGCAGCAGUGGGAAUAUUGGACAAUGGGGGCAACCCUGAUCCAGCCAUGCCGCGUGAGUGAUGAAGGCCUU
RNAcentral lists this ribosomal RNA (361 nucleotides) under uncultured bacterium. Its description in RNAcentral is "bacterial SSU rRNA". It matches the Rfam family "Bacterial small subunit ribosomal RNA", at positions 29 to 418 of the family's 1533-position model. The record is from RNAcentral.